GGAGAGAUGUCCGAGCGGCCGAAGGAGCACGACUGGAAAUCGUGUAGGUGCCUAAGAAGUGCCUCGGGGGUUCGAAUCCCCCUCUCUCCGCCA
Molecule: transfer RNA, 93 nt
Filed under: Nitrospiraceae bacterium
Lineage: Bacteria; Pseudomonadati; Nitrospirota; Nitrospiria; Nitrospirales; Nitrospiraceae
Also listed under: 1 other name
Description: tRNA-Ser
Rfam family: tRNA
About the family: Transfer RNA (tRNA) molecules are approximately 80 nucleotides in length. Their secondary structure includes four short double-helical elements and three loops (D, anti-codon, and T loops).
Source: RNAcentral